AGUGAACGCUGGCGGUAGGCCUAACACAUGCCAGUCGAACGGCAGCACAGUAAGAGCUUGCUCUUACGGGUGGCGAGUGGCGGACGGGUGAGGAAUACAUCGGAAUCUACUUUUUCGUGGGGGAUAACGUAGGGAAACUUACGCUAAUACCGCAUACGACCUACGGGUGAAAGCAGGGGAUCUUCGGACCUUGCGCGAUUGAAUGAGCCGAUGUCGGAUUAGCUAGUUGGCGGGGUAAAGGCCCACCAAGGCGACGAUCCGUAGCUGGUCUGAGAGGAUGAAACGGCCAAACGGAAACGGAAACACGGCCCAAACCCCCACGGGGGGAAGCGGGGGGAAAAUUUGGAAAGUGGGGGAAGGCCUGACCCAGCCAAACCGGGGGGGUGAAGAAGGCCUUCGGGUUGUAAACCCCUUUUGUGGGGAAAAAAAAGAAGCAGGUUAAAACCCCCGUGUUCGAACGGUACCCAAAAAAAAAGCACCGGCUAACUUCGG
Molecule: ribosomal RNA, 492 nt
Filed under: uncultured bacterium
Lineage: Bacteria
Description: partial 16S ribosomal RNA
Rfam family: Bacterial small subunit ribosomal RNA
Source: RNAcentral